AACGAACGCUGGCGGCAUGCCUAACACAUGCAAGUCGAACGAGAUCUUCGGGUCUAGUGGCGCACGGGUGCGUAACGCGUGGGAAUCUGCCCUUUGGUUCGGAAUAACAGUUGGAAACGACUGCUAAUACCGGAUGAUGACGAAAGUCCAAAGAUUUAUCGCCAGAGGAUGAGCCCGCGUAGGAUUAGGUAGUUGGUGUGGUAAAGGCGAACCAAGGCGACGAUCCUUAGCUGGUCUGAGAGGAUGAUCAGCCACACUGGGACUGAGACACGGACCAGACUCGGAAGGGAGGCAGCAGUGAGGAAUAAUGGACAAUGGGCGAAAGCCUGAUCCAGCAAUGCCGCGUGGGUGAUGAUGGCCUUAGGGUUGUAAAGCUCUUUUACCCGGGAUGAUAAUGACAGUACCGGGAGAAUAAGCUCCGGCUAACUCCGUGCCAGCCGCCGCGGUAA
Molecule: ribosomal RNA, 449 nt
Filed under: uncultured bacterium
Lineage: Bacteria
Description: partial 16S ribosomal RNA
Rfam family: Bacterial small subunit ribosomal RNA
Source: RNAcentral